GAAGUAAACGAGGUGGCUGCUCCACAUUUCGAAUGCGGAGUUCGGAAUGCGGGAUGCGGAAAAGAUGUUUUUCCAUUCCGCAAUCUGCAAUCCACAUUCCGCAUUCAAUAAGUGGGGAGGAAAGUCCGAGCUCUACAGGACAGGGUGGUCCCUAACGGGGACUGGAAGUGAUUCCAAGGAAAGUGCCACAGAAAACAUACCGCCGAUGGUAGCCGAAAGGCUGUCAGGCAAGGGUGAAAAGGUGGGGUAAGAGCCCACCGCAGCGCUGGCGACAGGGCUGGCAUGGUAAACCCCACCCGGAGAAAGGCUAAAUAGGGAGGGAUGAAGUGGUCCGCUUCGCUAUUACCUUCGGGUAAGCCGUUAGAGGCGUCUGGCAACAGGCGUCCCAGAUUAAUGGUCACCAACUACAAAACUCGGCUUAUUGUUUACUUCUGAA
RNAcentral lists this RNase P RNA (436 nucleotides) under Planctomycetota bacterium. RNAcentral's name for it is "RNase P RNA component class A". It matches the Rfam family "Bacterial RNase P class A". From Rfam's summary of the family: Ribonuclease P (RNase P) is a ubiquitous endoribonuclease, found in archaea, bacteria and eukarya as well as chloroplasts and mitochondria. Its best characterised activity is the generation of mature 5'-ends of tRNAs by cleaving the 5'-leader elements of precursor-tRNAs. RNAcentral also lists the same sequence under 2 other names. The record is from RNAcentral. Lineage: Bacteria; Pseudomonadati; Planctomycetota.